RNAcentral lists this ribosomal RNA (837 nucleotides) under uncultured Sebacinaceae. Its description in RNAcentral is "eukaryotic LSU rRNA". The stretch from base 188 to 837 matches the Rfam family "Eukaryotic large subunit ribosomal RNA", at positions 1 to 634 of the family's 3401-position model. The record is from RNAcentral. Lineage: Eukaryota; Fungi; Basidiomycota; Agaricomycetes; Sebacinales; Sebacinaceae.
GCUUUUGCUGAUGGAUGUGGACCUGGACUUUGUUGUGUUACUACAACUGGUCUGAAAUGGAUGAGUGCACCCUGCUGUUGCAGCGUCUUCAGUGUGAUAAGCAUCUUCACUGAUUCAAGUUCCUUCCGGACACGUGUGCAUUGUGGGCUCUGUGCUGGCAAACCGUCUUUGGACAAUCUUGACAAUUUGACCUCAGAUCGGGUGGGACUACCCGCUGAACUUAAGCAUAUCAAUAAGCGGAGGAAAAGAAACUAACAAGGAUUCCCCUAGUAACGGCGAGUGAAGAGGGAAAAGCUCAAAUUUUGAAUCUGGUGUCUUUGGCGCCCGAGUUGUAAUCUAGAGAAGUGUUUUCUGCCUCGGACCACACAUAAAUUCCCUGGAAUGGGGUGUCAUAGAGGGUGAGAAUCCCGUUUGUGGUGUGGACUACCUUGGCUCUGUGAUACACUCUCAACGAGUCGAGUUGUUUGGGAAUGCAGCUCAAAAUGGGUGGUAAAUUCCAUCUAAAGCUAAAUAUUGGCGAGAGACCGAUAGCGAACAAGUACCGUGAGGGAAAGAUGAAAAGCACUUUGGAAAGAGAGUGAAACAGUACGUGAAAUUGUUGAAAGGGAAGCGUUUGAAGUCAGUCACAUUGGUCGGAAUUCAGCCUGGCUUCUGCCUGGUGUACUUUCUGGCAAAUGGGUCAGCGUCAAUUUUGACCGAGAGAGAAAGACUUGAGGAAUGUGGCUGUCUUUGGGCAGUGUUAUAGCCUCUUGUUGUAUGUCUCGGUUGGGAUUGAGGAUCGCAGCACGCCUUAUGGCCGGGGUUCGCCCUCGGAACGUGCUUAGGACGCUGGCAUAA